GGAUGCGAUCAUACCAGCACUAAAGCACCGGAUCCCAUCAGAACUUCGAAGUUAAGCGUGCUUGGGCGAGAGUAGUACUAGGAUAGGUGACCUCCUGGGAAGUCCUCGUGUUGCAUUCCC
RNAcentral lists this ribosomal RNA (120 nucleotides) under Thinopyrum intermedium. Lineage: Eukaryota; Viridiplantae; Streptophyta; Magnoliopsida; Poales; Poaceae. The record is from RNAcentral.